RNAcentral lists this ribosomal RNA (466 nucleotides) under uncultured bacterium. RNAcentral's name for it is "partial 16S ribosomal RNA". It matches the Rfam family "Bacterial small subunit ribosomal RNA", at positions 28 to 507 of the family's 1533-position model. The record is from RNAcentral.
GAUGAACGCUGGCGGCGUGCUUAACACAUGCAAGUCGAACGAUGAAGCCCAGCUUGCUGGGUGGAUUAGUGGCGAACGGGUGAGUAACACGUGAGUAACCUGCCCUUAACUCUGGGAUAAGCCUGGGAAACUGGGUCUAAUACCGGAUAGGAGCGUCCACCGCAUGGGGGGUGUUGGAGAGAUUUAUCGGUUUUGGAUGGACUCGCGGCCUAUCAGCUUGUUGGUGGGGUAAUGGCUCACCAAGGCGACGACGGGUAGCCGGCCUGAGAGGGUGACCGGCCACACUGGGACUGAGACACGGCCCAGACUCCUACGGGAGGCAGCAGUGGGGAAUAUUGCACAAUGGGCGCAAGCCUGAUGCAGCGACGCCGCGUGCGGGAUGACGGCCUUCGGGUUGUAAACCUCUUUCAGUAGGGAAGAAGCGAAAGUGACGGUACCUGCAGAAGAAGCACCGGCUAACUACGUG